RNAcentral lists this long non-coding RNA (1825 nucleotides) under Pelobates cultripes (western spadefoot toad). The record is from RNAcentral. Lineage: Eukaryota; Metazoa; Chordata; Amphibia; Anura; Pelobatidae.
ACGGCAACCAGCAGGAUUCCAGCAGCUGUGGAGUUCUGAUCUUGAUGGUAAACAUUCAUGUCCAUUGUAAAAGCUAUUCAUCAUACAUGUGAAUUGCUGUUACAAAUGUAAUAAUGUGUUACAGUUUGCCAAGGAGUUUCUUCAGACCCGAACCAUUCAUGCAGUGAAGACCUCUGCAGAAGAUGUGUUUAUUAAAUCACUCCCAAAAAACGUUUAAAGUGACAAUACACAUUCAAUGUCUACCAUAAUGUAAAACCUGUUAAAUUAUUUGGUUAGGUGCAGCGUAAGACCAUCAAUAUACACCAGCAUAAACAAUACAGAAAGAUAAUACACUAAGGUGAGGACAGUGGCAUCUUUUGAAAUGGUGGUGCCCUAGGCAUGACCGAUCUGGGGCACACCCCAAUGUAAAGUUGCCCACUCCGUCCUGCCAGCGUCACACCUCUUAAUGUUCAAUACUGCUUAUAUGUUGAACGUGAGUGCUGUGCAGCGCAGCGCAUCCCAUUCUAUGCACUCCUCAUAUUCUUCUAGAUCUAAGAUUCGCUUCAGUUGUACAAUCAAGUAGAUGGGCUGCUUAACAGCCUAUAAAUGCUGACCUAGUAAUUUAGUCAUAUCUACAUGCAUAUUUAGCAAAUUUUAGACCAAAAAUAUAUGAAAUGAAAGCUAUUUUUCCAUCAAAUCUAUUCUAGCCUAAAAUUUGCAGUUCAAUUGUCUAAUCUGUUCCAUUCCCUGUUUACUUAUUAACUCCUCCAUAUUGUUAAUGUUUAUAUAGCAGUGAGUACGGUAUUUUAAAGUCUAUUCUUCAUAUCUUUUUGCUGCUACAUAAGGUAGAGAGUGACAAAUGAUUCCCAGAUGACUUUUCCCUUGGUCACCGUUGCAGCUACACGCGGUUUGUUCUCCCCCCACAUAGCAGGUUAUACAGAAUACUCCUAAAUGUCAAGAAAUGAUUACGUUAGAGCCAAAGCUGAGCUUCAAAAAUUGUGGGGAAAAAACUUUUUUCACCAAUAUUGAAUUUUAGAAAAAAGUUCCCUGCCCAAUUUCUGAUCAUUUUAAUUUUACUGAGAGCCCUCUAAAAUUUCUAUGUAUUAACAAUAGCAGACAAUGGUGGAUACUUGAGAACCAUUUCCUAUCAGAUUGCGCUAUGUUUAAACUGUGGGGUAUUUCUAACAAACUAAAAGGGGUCACAUAGAUGCUUGUAUUCAAAAUUGAAAAAGCUCUACAAUUCUUUCUAUUCUACGCCUCCAACCCUCAACAUUGAAAUUGUAGUUUGUAAUAAUAUAAAAUAAGUACAUUGUAAUAUGCUUUCUGGUUACGAUUUGGUGAGUUGUAACUAUUUUUUAUUUUUACAGUUCCAGAGGGAAGGAGCAAACCCAUUUGAGGAGUCACUGCAUAAGAGACUAUUGGAUACUGAAUGGCUGUACUACAGUGGCGGCUCUAGACUUGGCGAGGCCUUAGUCGAAACUCAUACAUGAGGCCACCACGAACACCAUUAUUGGAAAAAAAAAUAGCAGUUGACUUUGUGUAUAAGAAGCUGUAGAUAUGUUGAGUCUCUGUUUACAUCGUUGCAUUGUCUACCUGAGUGUGUGUCUGGCAGUGAGUAUCCUUGUAUCUGUAUGUAUGUUUCUCUGAGUAUGUGUAUGUUUGUGUACGGCCUUUGGCACUGAGUUUUUGGCGAAGCUAUGUUUUAUGACAGUGUGUAUAAUGAUUGCCUUCAGGGGGUGGCAGGGUGAGUGUAAAAGAGCAGGAGGGUGCCAGAGUGUUGACAGUGUGUAUGGAGGGAGGUGCCAGAGUGCGGAGAGUGGUGCCCAUGUGAGAAUAGAUGUGACAG